CCCUUAGAUGUCCGGGGCUGCACGCGCACUACACUGAAGGAAUCAGCGUGCUAAAACCAUUGUCGAAAGGCAUUGGUAAACCCAUUAAAAUCCUACGUGAUUGGGAUCGGGAAUUGCAAUUAUUUCCCUUGAACGAGGAAUUCCCAGUAAGUGUGGGUCAUAAGCUCGCGUUGAUUACGUCCCUGCCCUUUGUACACACCGCCCGUCGCUGCCCGGGACUGAGCCGUUUCGAGAAAAGCGGGGACUGCUGCUGUCGGGGCUUUCGGGCCUUGGCUUCGGUGGAAACCGCUUUAAUCGCAGUGGCUUGAACCGGGCAAAANUCGUAACA
Molecule: ribosomal RNA, 328 nt
Filed under: uncultured eukaryote
Lineage: Eukaryota
Description: partial 18S ribosomal RNA
Rfam family: Eukaryotic small subunit ribosomal RNA
Source: RNAcentral